GUUCCAGGCACUGAUGAAGAGAUGUGUGUGACGUGGUAUGGAAAGUGAUGAACGUUCCUAUGAGGCUCUAGAAGACACAGGUCAUCUGAAAGCAGAGCUGCUAUAGAGAUACCAUGUCUCACUACUAAAGGACCUGAAAUCUACGCCCAAUUGAGGGGCGCAAGGGAAACCAACGGCCACCUCAGUCCCCUUAUGAAGAUGCAGGAACUGGUCUGGUGAAAUGACAUCACUUGUUCAAGGCCAUGGAGAUGGCCAGUCUAUGAUAUGAAGGAAGAUGUAUCAGAAAACUGAUCUAUACAGUUGAACAAAUACUGUUCCCUCAAAAGGUAAUCUGUUGCUAGAGCUAGAGGAAAGUUGAAAACAUGGCUUUAAAAAGAAAACAACAUAUGAGAUCAUGCACCUUCAGUGGUUACAGGGAAGUGUUCCAGGCCUGAACCAUGUGCGUUACGGCUUUUAUGAACGAUGCAUCCAGUCUAUCAGAAGAGGGCUGAUGUCACCAGACAAGCUAACUUUUGAAAUAGUCAACGAACUGUAUGUGAACUGGGCAAGGUGAAGAAACUGAAGCUUAGGAACCAAGAUUGAAUUAAAAGCCCAAUGGCCUUACUCUUGAACUUCCUCCCAGGGAGCAGGCCUUCCCCUGGAAGACAAUGGGGUUCGGUCUACUUCUCGCUAUUCCUGUGUUGCUUUCCUGAGGACAACGAAACUACGCCUUUGGUUCAGUGACGUCUCAGAAAGCUCUUGGAGGGAAUUGCAUUCUAUCCACAAGAGUGGAGGUACAACUCCAACUUCAAAAGAAGAGGUUGUGUUUGCCAUUUUCUCAGGGUUUGGGUCUGGCUGGGGUGAAAGAUGUUCAGUAACUGAGAAAGCAUCCUGGUCACACUGUAGAAUUUCUUCUAAAUUCUCUCCUUGGAAUCUGAGUGUGAUUAUGAAUUUUUUUAGUAUUUAAUCCCAUAGGUAAGUGAUUAGGGGGAAAAAAUGUAAGGCUCCUUAAAAAAGGCAAUAAUGACAAAAAGGUAGAGAAACACGGCAUUAGA
This is a long non-coding RNA of Mustela lutreola (European mink), 1034 nucleotides long. RefSeq lists it as uncharacterized. NCBI's taxonomy places the organism in Eukaryota, Metazoa, Chordata, Mammalia, Carnivora, Mustelidae. The transcript is spliced from 6 exons. The record is from RefSeq and is a predicted model, not a curated record.